This is a long non-coding RNA of Hipposideros armiger (great roundleaf bat), 1890 nucleotides long. RefSeq lists it as uncharacterized. NCBI's taxonomy places the organism in Eukaryota, Metazoa, Chordata, Mammalia, Chiroptera, Hipposideridae. The record is from RefSeq and is a predicted model, not a curated record. The transcript has 2 exons.
GGGAAAAUUACUGACAUUCUCUCAGCCUCAGUCUCCUCAUUUAUGAAGUGGAGAUGCCGAGUCAUACCUCUUAGAGGUGUUGUGAGGAUGAAAUGAAACAGGAAAAUGCACAGUGCGGUGCUUGGCAGAGGAGGAAGACAGUGGUCGUAUAGUGCCCUUGGAUGAGAAAUGGAAACUUCUGAGCUGCAGCUUCGGUUUAUGCUCAAAGCCUGCAUUGUUUGUCUUCAUCUAAUCCAGCUUUGAUGGACAUCUGUGGCAGUUGCCUGCACACGUGCUCGAAUGAAGUAUUAGAAAUGGCUAUACAUUCAAAAGAAACCCCGUAUUAUAUACCCACAUCACUGCUGCUAGUGUUCAUAUUUUUGCACAUACUGUUUAUUGCUUAUGUGUAGAAGAAAUGAAACUAGUUUCAGAGUUGUUAUUCUUGUGAAUAUAUAACAUGUAUUAAUAUUGAGACCAAAAAAUACAUUUCCAGCAUUAGCAGUCCUUCAUUUCCUGUCUCCAGAAUAAUGUAAUUCUUGAUAAUAAAUAAGAGUUUUGAUGAAGAGUAAUAUACAGCUUACAAGGGAAUGUAAAGGAUUAGUAAAAAAAUUAUAUCUCCCGUCAUUUUUCGGCCCCUCACACCACAUUGAUGUCAGGCUGGUUUGUUAUUAUGGAAAACAACUUGGGAGUUAAUGCAAGAACAUAAUACUCACUUUAUAUUACUUUCUUACGAACAGGAUUUACUUGAAUACAUGAAUCUAAUCAUGUUUAUUUGAUAGAAGCUGUGGUUUCUAGGAAUUUGAGAAAGGCAUAGGAAAUAAAUAGGACAAAAAGGAAAUGGUACCUUGAAUAGCAUUUUUUCCAUGAUAGAAACAUAAAUUUAAUAGUAUCCUAUAAUAAUUUAGUACUGUACAUUUUUUAAGACUUUAAAAAAUUCUAUGGAUUUCAUGUCUUCUGUAUAUAUCAGAUGUGUCUUUCAAAGGUGACCAACAGUACCUUUAUUUUAAUUUUUUAAGUGCUACUGACAAAUUUAAGCAUAUGCUUAGAUACAGUUAGAUGUGACAGAAUGAGAUAAUUUACAUAAAGUAGUACAGUGGCACAAAACAGGUACUUAAUAUAUAUAUUUGUUGUUAUAAUUAUUGUUGUAAAACUAAUAACUUCAAUAACAUGGUCCCAAUUUGGAGGGAUUUUGUGAUGCAAAUUAUCUAAGUUAGAAAUAGAAAUAAUACAGAUGAGAUAAGCAUGUGCUGAGAGAUUUUAGAUGUGUUGGUAGAGGUAAUAACGAGAGCAUUAAGUUCAAAUAAAAAUUGCACCAAGUAUCCCCGAAAACAGAAGUGUAGACGGUUCACGAUGGAGCCUUGGGCAAGGAGAGAAAGGACAAGAGUCGCAGCAGAGUGAGGCACAGCGGAGGCUGUGAAGGGUCAGGAUCUGUGCGCACCCUGGGCCACCUCAGGGCAGCACCAGGCGGGGCCUGUGACUGGCAGAGGCAGGCCCUGGAUUCUUCCUGUCUGCGAUUUCUUCUGCAUGUACAGAAAUGAAGAAAUGGCACAGCGUGGCUAUUAGAACUGUGGCAUAUUUAAACAUUUAUAUCUUACGGAAUAAAACUGAUACCACAUGCUUGCCAAACAUGGACUGCAGGUGUAGCCUCGUUUGUAGUUAACAUCAAAAGACAAACUCUGAAGCCUUUCGUGAAUGAGAGGCCAGAUGGCGCUGGGGGCACGCCCUCUGUUGACCCCGUAUUCAGGCCCUGGGACAAAACGGUACACAGGCUGCCAGCCUCUCUGCUCUCCACACAGUAGGUAUUGAGCCGCCAGGGACUUUUCUUGAAUCUAACUUCUGAUGCUUCUAGUAGUCGCCACCCACCUGUCCCUUAAAAAUGCAAAAUAAACGGACAAAAACUAAUUCAAAUGA